This is a long non-coding RNA of Esox lucius (northern pike), 961 nucleotides long. RefSeq lists it as uncharacterized. The record is from RefSeq and is a predicted model, not a curated record. NCBI's taxonomy places the organism in Eukaryota, Metazoa, Chordata, Actinopteri, Esociformes, Esocidae. The transcript has 3 exons.
UUACUCUUUGGAGACCAAAGCAUACUAUGGUUACCACUAAAGACAUUUGGAACUGUAGAAAUUGGAUUGUGCCUAAUUUUUAUAACCCAAAACAAUCUUUACGUGUACCAUCAGUGGUGCUCUUAUUUUCCUCUCUUUCCUAAAUUUUUUGUGAAAAUCUUAGAUGCUUUUCAGGUUCCCAUAAUAGGCCACCGUCUCUUUUUGUCUUUCUUUGUCAGGGUUCGCCACAUCCCGCAUGCAGUUCAAGCCCAUCUGGACAACCCUUCUAGAUGCCUGAAUUCAUAUAUGGAAGCCUGUCAAAUGCCUUCUACUCAAGACUAGCUUCCAUUUAGCCACUCUACCACAAAGGCCUGAUUAAAGGAGUGCUGCAGCGACAGCAAGAUGACAGCAUCCAAGCAGCUCAGAAUAAUGUCAACUAGCAACACCACAAAGGCACACCAACCAAGGUAUGGUACCCCUGAACUAACAUAAACACAAUAGUCUAGGACUCAAAUGAUGUGGCAGCUAGAGUCAGAAGAGAAAAUGACAAAAUUCACUCCAUGUAGGCUGGGCACAGUUUACGAAACAGAUCUAACUAGCAUAUGACUUAAAGAAAACCAAAAUAAAAAAGCAUUCAAUUAUUUUCACUGGAUGUAAUAAGUCAGUAGGCCCCAAUCAUGACAAUGCAAAGCCCUUUUCCAAAUCAUAAUGCAGCUACAACUCUUAUUACACAUUGUAAACACAAAUAAUCAGGUUUCACACACAAGUUUAAAUGCAACAACAUCAGUCUCACAUGGUCGCAUACUAUCAUUCCAUAGACAGCAAGCUGCAAAAAAAGAACUAUGAUAUCAGCUGAUGAUAAUUUUGAACCUACUGUUGAAAGUUCAUUUUCUAAGAGGCAUCUGUUAACAAAUAAAUCAACAAAAUUGUUGAGAAUUCCUGUUAGUCAACUAAAAUAAACAGUGCUACAUUGGACUAUGUA